RNAcentral lists this non-coding RNA (104 nucleotides) under uncultured Sporosarcina sp. Its description in RNAcentral is "SAM riboswitch (S box leader)". It matches the Rfam family "SAM riboswitch aptamer (S box leader)". Rfam says of the family: The SAM riboswitch is found upstream of a number of genes which code for proteins involved in methionine or cysteine biosynthesis in Gram-positive bacteria. Lineage: Bacteria; Bacillati; Bacillota; Bacilli; Caryophanales; Caryophanaceae. The record is from RNAcentral.
UCUUAUCAAGAGAGACGGAGGGAUUGGCCCGAAGAUGUCUCAGCAACCAGCCCGAUUUUGGUAUGGUGCUAACUCCAAAAGGCUUAACCGUCUUGAAGAUAAGA